This 253-nucleotide ribosomal RNA is filed under the name uncultured bacterium. Its description in RNAcentral is "partial 16S ribosomal RNA". It matches the Rfam family "Bacterial small subunit ribosomal RNA", at positions 524 to 776 of the family's 1533-position model. The record is from RNAcentral.
UACGGAGGGAGCUAGCGUUAUUCGGAAUUACUGGGCGUAAAGGGCGCGUAGGCGGUACUUCAAGUCAGGCGUGAAAGCCCCGGGCUCAACCUGGGAACCGCGCUUGAGACUGGAGAACUAGAGUUCGGGAGAGGAUGGUGGAAUUCCCAGUGUAGAGGUGAAAUUCGUAGAUAUUGGGAAGAACACCGAUGGCGAAGGCAGCCAUCUGGACCGACACUGACGCUGAGGCGCGAAAGCGUGGGGAGCAAACAGG